UUCUCUCUCUGACAAAAGAACUCAGAGUAAGUAAGAAAUGGUACAGACGAAGAAGUUCAGAGGUGUCAGGCAACGCCAUUGGGGUUCUUGGGUCGCUGAGAUUCGUCAUCCUCUCUUGUACCUUUCUUCUUUCUUUCCUUUUUUCUAUGUUGUUCAUUUAUUCCCCCUUUCUGAUGCAUUCAGUACACAACCAAACACACACACGCUAACAUAUAUAUACAUGAUCGUUUUACUCAUCUGCUUUCAUCUCUUUAGCUAACACAUAAACCCCAUUUUAAUAUUUUAUUGCUUAUACGGACUAUAUUGUAUAACAUGCAUGAUCAAAGGAAACGGAGAAUUUGGCUUGGGACGUUUGAGACGGCAGAGGAGGCAGCAAGAGCCUACGACGAGGCUGCCGUUUUAAUGAGCGGCCGUAACGCCAAGACCAACUUCCCCCUCAACAACAACAACAACACAGGAGACACAUCGGAGGCCAAAACCGAUAUUUCAUCUUCUUCUUCAUCAUCUUCAUCACUCUCUACCAUCCUCAGCGCUAAACUGAGGAAAUGCUGCAAGUCUCCUUCGCCUUCUCUCACCUGCCUGCGUCUUGACACAGCCAGCUCCCACAUCGGAGUCUGGCAGAAACGCGCCGGUUCCAAGUCUGAUUCCAGUUGGGUCAUGACGGUCGAGCUCGGUCCCGCUAGCUCCUCCCAGGAGCCUACGAAAAAUGCUUCACAAGACGAUGUUGGUCCAUCCACUCAGGUUGGCGGCGGUGGAGGAGGAGGAGAAGAAGGAGUAAUGGACGAGGAAGAGAAAGUUGCUUUGCAGAUGAUAGAGGAGCUUCUCAAUACAAACUAAAUAUUAUUUGCUUAUAUAUAGCUAUUUUUAUUGCUGAUUUACAGCCAUAAUUAUUAAUUAUACCUCCCAAGAACAAUGUUCAUCACGAACAGACUAAACACGUUAGCAGGAAACUCCACUUCAUCAGAGACAUCAUCGAGAAAGGGGAAGUGACAGUUGAGAAGAUACACACUUCGAAGAACCCUGCAGACAUAUUAACUAAGGUCGUUCUUGUGAAGAAGUUUGAAGCGGCUCUGAGGGUUCUCGGAGUGGCCAAGCACUGAGGUGUUUGGCAUUGCCUGGCAAGACACGAGAUGGCAACAUGGUAGCUGCAGAUAAAGCUGAUUAAUCAUCAAGGUGGAGAUUGUUACGUUGGUGAUGAAGAAUCAGUUAUAUUGGAAGCUUGAACCAGUCGAGAUUGACAAUUGGGUUAUAUGGCGUUUUGGGUUAAACCGCCGGUUAGAUAUUACUCAAUGGUUUACGGUUAUUGAAAACCGGUUAUCAGUUGUAACUAUCCUUGCCUAAUAUAAAAGCAAAGCUCGUGAGUUGCAUUAGUUAUCAGAGAAAGAUAGAUUGUACUAGGGUUACAAACUUUAGGUCACGGCCGUUGUGAUCUUGGAAGAGUUUAGUAAUUUGCCUUGCCAGGCCCCAGAGACGUAGCCACAUCGGUGAACUAUGGGUAAUCAAUUAAUCUCUGUGUGUGCUCCUGUUCUUAUUUCGUUUCUCUUUCGUUCUCUUGCGUGUUUGUGUUCCUGAGUGUUUUUCCGUGAGAGUUCGUGUCGCGAAUUGUGCAACGUCGGUUUGAGGUUGAACAGCUUCGCAGUUCAUAUCUAACAUCAAACGAACUUGAUUCCUAACAAUGUGGACAAUUGAUUGGGAUGUACGUUCGUAGGUAUGCUAAAAACAAUGUACACGGCCAUGUGACACUUGUACAACUUGUGCCUUCCCUACAUAUAUACGAUCUUAUCUUCGAAAUUUAAAUAGUUUUACACUUAUAACCAUACAUCCUUAACCUUAGCAAUCACUCUAUACCAACAACUCCAGCUAAAUUCUCUCUCUGUAAUAGACUAGCUAGCGAGGACGUCACAAAUGUAAUAAGGGUAAGAACAAGUACAAACCUUUCAUCUACCAAAAUUUAACCAGUGUAUAUAAAUAUACAACAUUACUAUUUACCAAACAUCCAUCUUACAUAUACUACUCGUCAUCAAGAAUUCAUGUUCUCUCUCUGACAAAAGAACUCAGAGUAAGUAAGAAAUGGUACAGACGAAGAAGUUCAGAGGUGUCAGGCAACGCCAUUGGGGUUCUUGGGUCGCUGAGAUUCGUCAUCCUCUCUUGUACCUUUCUUCUUUCUUUCCUUUUUUCUAUGUUGUUCAUUUAUUCCCCCUUUCUGAUGCAUUCAGUACACAACCAAACACACACACGCUAACAUAUAUAUACAUGAUCGUUUUACUCAUCUGCUUUCAUCUCUUUAGCUAACACAUAAACCCCAUUUUAAUAUUUUAUUGCUUAUACGGACUAUAUUGUAUAACAUGCAUGAUCAAAGGAAACGGAGAAUUUGGCUUGGGACGUUUGAGACGGCAGAGGAGGCAGCAAGAGCCUACGACGAGGCUGCCGUUUUAAUGAGCGGCCGUAACGCCAAGACCAACUUCCCCGUCAACAAC
Molecule: long non-coding RNA, 2477 nt
Filed under: Brassica napus (rape)
Lineage: Eukaryota; Viridiplantae; Streptophyta; Magnoliopsida; Brassicales; Brassicaceae
Description: long non-coding RNA (BNAP_LNC017008)
Source: RNAcentral